GAUGAACGCUAGCGGCAGGCUUAACACAUGCAAGUCGAGGGGCAGCGUGGAGCAGCAAUGCUCUGACGGCGACCGGCGGAAGGGUGCGUAACACGUGAGCGACUUGCCCGUCACAGGGGGAUAACCGGCGGAAACGGCGACUAAUACCCCAUACGAUGUGAUGCUGCAUGGCACUGCAUCGAAAGAUUCAUCGGUGGCGGAUAGGCUCGCGGGACAUUAGCUAGACGGCGGGGCAACGGCCCACCGUGGCGACGAUGUCUAGGGGUUCUGAGAGGAAGGCCCCCCACACUGGGACUGAGACACGGACCAGACUCCUACGGGAGGCAGCAGUGAGGAAUAUUGGUCAAUGGGCGAGAGCCUGACCAGCCAAGUCGCGUGGAGGAAGGACGGCCCUACGGGUUGUAAACCUCUUUGUCGGAGAGUAAAGUACG
Molecule: ribosomal RNA, 431 nt
Filed under: uncultured bacterium
Lineage: Bacteria
Description: bacterial SSU rRNA
Rfam family: Bacterial small subunit ribosomal RNA
Source: RNAcentral